RNAcentral lists this ribosomal RNA (324 nucleotides) under uncultured bacterium. RNAcentral's name for it is "bacterial SSU rRNA". It matches the Rfam family "Bacterial small subunit ribosomal RNA", at positions 28 to 334 of the family's 1533-position model. The record is from RNAcentral.
GAUGAACGCUGGCGGCGUGCUUAACACAUGCAAGUCGAGCGAAGCGCUCACGCGGAAUUUUUCGGAAGGAAGCGGGAGUGACUUAGCGGCGGACGGGUGAGUAACGCGUGGGUAACCUGCCCCAUACCGGGGGAUAACGGUUAGAAAUGACCGCUAAUACCGCUUAAGCGCGCGAGGCCGCAUGGCCACGCGCGAAAAACUCCGGUGGUAUGGGAUGGGCCCGCGUCUGAUUAGGUAGUUGGCGGGGUAAAGGCCCACCAAGCCGACGAUCAGUAGCCGACCUGAGAGGGUGGCCGGCCACAUUGGGACUGAGACACGGCCCAA